GGACCCGCACAAGCGGUGGAGCAUGUGGUUUAAUUCGAUGCAACGCGAAAAACCUUACCUAUACUUGACAUACUUGGAAUGCUUUGUAAUGAAGCAGUGCCUUCGGGAGCCAAGAUACAGGUGCUGCAUGGCUGUCGUCAGCUCGUGUCGUGAGAUGUUCCGUUAAGUCGGAUAACGAGCGCAACCCUUACCCUUAUUUGCCAGCGAUUCGGUCGGGAACUAUAAGGGGACUGCCGGUGAUAAACCGGAGGAAGGUGAGGACGACGUCAAGUCAUCAUGGCCCUUACGUAUAGGGCUACACACGUGCUACAAUGGAGAAUACAGACGGACGCUAAGCCGCGAGUGGUGCUAA
This 352-nucleotide ribosomal RNA is filed under the name uncultured bacterium. Its description in RNAcentral is "bacterial SSU rRNA". It matches the Rfam family "Bacterial small subunit ribosomal RNA", at positions 917 to 1271 of the family's 1533-position model. The record is from RNAcentral.